CCUACGGGUGGCAGCAGUGAGGAAUAUUGGUCAAUGGACGAGAGUCUGAACCAGCCAAGUAGCGUGAAGGAUGACUGCCCUAUGGGUUGUAAACUUCUUUUAUAUGGGAAUAAAAUGUUCCACGUGUGGGAUUUUGUAUGUACCAUAUGAAUAUGGAUCGGCUAACUCCGUGCCAGCAGCCGCGGUAAUACGGAGGAUCCGAGCGUUAUCCGGAUUUAUUGGGUUUAACGGGAGCGUAGGUGGAUUGUUAAGUCAGUUGUGAAAGUUUGCGGCUCAACCGUAAAAUUGCAGUUGAAACUGGCAGUCUUGAGUACAGUAGAGGUGGGCGGAAUUCGUGGUGUAGCGGUGAAAUGCUUAGAUAUCACGAAGAACUCCGAUUGCGAAGGCAGUUCACUGGACUGCAACUGACACUGAGGCUCGAAAGUGUGGGUAUCAAACAGGAUUAGAUACCCUAGUAGUC
RNAcentral lists this ribosomal RNA (460 nucleotides) under uncultured bacterium. Its description in RNAcentral is "partial 16S ribosomal RNA". It matches the Rfam family "Bacterial small subunit ribosomal RNA", at positions 338 to 795 of the family's 1533-position model. The record is from RNAcentral.